This 636-nucleotide long non-coding RNA is filed under the name Triticum aestivum (bread wheat). Its description in RNAcentral is "long non-coding RNA (TAES_LNC026393)". The record is from RNAcentral. Lineage: Eukaryota; Viridiplantae; Streptophyta; Magnoliopsida; Poales; Poaceae.
UAGCAAUCAAUUGAAACUCCAGUGAAUCCGGUCCGGGAGGAGCCUGUGCUGGCCCGGAACCGGAACACGCCACGGCAGGAGGCCGAGGCAUCCACAAGCUCAUCGAGGAAAAGAACUUAAGGUUUGUACCGAAUCGUGCCAGCUACUCUUGUGCUCUUAUAUACAAAGGAAGGCCUUUAAUUGUGUUCCCUUUGCUAAUGUUUGAUCCGAUGUUGUUACUUUAGGGGGAUGAAGAGUAAGACUUGAGAACAGGGGUGAUCACCGUUACUGUGUGAUGAAGCAUGAAGUCUUGUCGGCGUGAUAUGGAGGAAGGCUGCAUUUCUGAUUUCUAUCGGAAGACUGCCCUAUUUAGCACCAUCUUUAUUAUUUAAGAAUAAAUCAUAGCUAUAAGCUAUUGUUUGUGUCAUUGAUGUGAGUCUUGAACUAGUCUGUUAAGUUUGUGGGUCAUUGUUUGCUGCAGCAGCAGCUAUCCUUUAUUUCUCUGAACCAAAGUUGUGAUGCUAUCAGUACAUUUGGACGUGCUAUUUGGUAGACACAGCUAUGUCUAUGUGUCAUUAUAUUUGAGAUAAAUCUGUGUGCUAUGUACUCUUCUUCAUGUAUGGUUGCUCAGGCGAGUGAAACGGGUGAGUGUUUCAC